CGCCGUGACCCGACGGCGAAGCGCAAGGACGGACAACACAUCGGGUCUGUUUCAGGGACGAGAUUCCCCAUGUUUGCAGCGUACGUGAGAUUAUUAGUAUUUUUUUUUUUCUCCGCAGGGUUUUGAAUAAAACCCCCGCUUUUGAGGCAGAUGUGGCAAUGCAACCCCAAGCGCAAGUUCUUGCCGUCGUUUUUAUCCGUUUUCCCGCCUCACAGGUGCACUCAAACUACAGUCAACUAAACGAGCAGACCACAAAGCAGAACCUUCGGUCUUUGUGGUCUUCACCUUUGGGG
Long non-coding RNA from Hippocampus zosterae (dwarf seahorse), 293 nucleotides. RefSeq lists it as uncharacterized. The transcript has 2 exons. The record is from RefSeq and is a predicted model, not a curated record. NCBI's taxonomy places the organism in Eukaryota, Metazoa, Chordata, Actinopteri, Syngnathiformes, Syngnathidae.